This 367-nucleotide transfer-messenger RNA is filed under the name Planctomycetota bacterium. RNAcentral's name for it is "Planctomycetes bacterium transfer-messenger RNA". It matches the Rfam family "transfer-messenger RNA". Rfam says of the family: Bacterial tmRNA, also known as 10Sa RNA or SsrA, is named for its dual tRNA and mRNA-like properties. Its role is to liberate the mRNA from a stalled ribosome. Lineage: Bacteria; Pseudomonadati; Planctomycetota. RNAcentral also lists the same sequence under 1 other name. The record is from RNAcentral.
GGGGGCGAACUGGGUUCGACCGGAUAGUCUGAAGUGUGGGUGGCGUGCCGUGGUUGGUCAGUGGGCCACGUUAAAAAGCUGACCAAAUAUCUUCAAUUGCCGAAGAUAACCUUGCUUUGGCUGCCUAAAUAUAGGCAACCCGAGUUGAUGGCUUUUGUCGGAGAGGCCUGAAAACUCGUCACUAAUUCCGAAUCGCCUCGUGUCACUGCUGGGCACGCUCGAGGUUAAACACGGUUCCCGGCUGGCCUGCCGUGCACCUCGUCGGUUAGGGGUCGGCAGGCGAGACGCGUAAAUCAUCCGACUACGCACGUAGAAGCCCCCAUGGAAAUAUCGCGGGACGCGGGUUCAAUUCCCGCCGCCUCCAUUC